UACGUAGGGACCGAGCGUUGUCCGGAUUCAUUGGGCGUAAAGAGCUCGUAGGCGGCUGCUCAAGUCGAAUGUGAAAACUCGAGGCUCAACCUCGAGCCUGCAUUCGAUACUGGGCGGCUAGAGUCUGGUAGGGGGAUCUGGAAUUCCUGGUGUAGCGGUGGAAUGCGCAGAUAUCAGGAGGAACACCAAUGGCGAAGGCAGCUCGCUGGAACGGUACUGACGCUGAGGCGCGAAAGCGUGGGGAGCAAACAGG
RNAcentral lists this ribosomal RNA (253 nucleotides) under uncultured bacterium. Its description in RNAcentral is "partial 16S ribosomal RNA". It matches the Rfam family "Bacterial small subunit ribosomal RNA", at positions 524 to 776 of the family's 1533-position model. The record is from RNAcentral.